RNAcentral lists this ribosomal RNA (493 nucleotides) under uncultured bacterium. RNAcentral's name for it is "bacterial SSU rRNA". It matches the Rfam family "Bacterial small subunit ribosomal RNA", at positions 28 to 507 of the family's 1533-position model. The record is from RNAcentral.
GAUGAACGCUAGCUACAGGCUUAACACAUGCAAGUCGAGGGGCAGCAUUUUAGUUUGCUUGCAAACUAAAGAUGGCGACCGGCGCACGGGUGAAGUAACACGUAUCCAACCUGCCGAUAACUCGGGGAUAGCCUUUCGAAAGAAAGAUUAAUAUCCGAUAGUAUAUUAAAACCGCAUGGUUUUACUAUUAAAGAAUUUCGGUUAUCGAUGGGGAUGCGUUCCAUUAGUUUGUUGGCGGGGUAACGGCCCACCAAGACAACGAUGGAUAGGGGUUCUGAGAGGAAGGUCCCCCACAUUGGAACUGAGACACGGUCCAAACUCCUACGGGAGGCAGCAGUGAGGAAUAUUGGUCAAUGGACGAGAGUCUGAACCAGCCAAGUAGCGUGAAGGAUGACUGCCCUAUGGGUUGUAAACUUCUUUUGUAAGGGAAUAAAGGCCGGUACGUGUUACCGGUUUGCAGGUACCUUACGAAUAAGGAUCGGCUAACUCCGUG